Molecule: ribosomal RNA, 468 nt
Filed under: uncultured bacterium
Lineage: Bacteria
Description: partial 16S ribosomal RNA
Rfam family: Bacterial small subunit ribosomal RNA
Source: RNAcentral
GACGAACGCUGGCGGCGUGCUUAACACAUGCAAGUCGAACGGAAAGGCCCUGCUUUUGUGGGGUGCUCGAGUGGCGAACGGGUGAGUAACACGAGAGUAACCUGCCCUUGACUCUGGGAUAACUUCAGGAAACUGGGGCUAAUACCGGAUAGGAGCUCCUGCUGCAUGGGGGGGGUUGGAAAGUUUCGGCGGUUGGGGAUGGACUCGCGGCUUAUCAGCUUGUUGGUGGGGUAGGGGCUUACCAAGGCUUUGACGGGUAGCCGGCCUGAGAGGGUGACCGGCCACAUUGGGACUGAGAUACGGCCCAGACUCCGACGGGAGGCAGCAGUGGGGAAUAUUGCACAAUGGGCGGAAGCCUGAUGCGGCAACGCCGCGUGCGGGAUGACGGCCUUCGGGUUGUAAACCGCUUUCGCCUGUGAUGAAGCGUGAGUGACGGUAAUGGGUAAAGAAGCACCGGCUAACUACGUG